UUUGCAUUUCCCUCCAGUUUUGAUUGUCUGCCCUGUCCUGAUUAGUUUCACGUGUGGCUAGCUGGCCUUCCCUCAGUGAGUAUGUAGUCAGUGUGUUUCCUUCAUUUAGUUGUUAAACCGUUUUUGUCUUCAUCCACGUUGAGCGGUUCGGCCCUUUCCUUGUGUGAUUUGUGUUUUGGAUUUACAACCUUGGUUAUUGGAUUUUCUUGCCCGAUUGUUUGAUAUUGGAUUUUCUUUGUUUAUUAGACUAUCUACAUGACAGUUUUGGUUUUUCAUUAUUUGCCUGUUCCAUGGAUUCUAUGUAUUCCUGUUUAGACUGCUCCCCUGGUUUUGUCCACUGCCUGCCUUUAUCCCAUGUUUCAUCAUGUAUUGUAAACUGGACCGACACACAGGUUGGUUUUUAUACUGGAAAAGGCCCAAAAGAGUGUGUCCCUCCAGUCUGGCUCAAGGUCUCAGGCAGAGACAUGUGGACUUGAUUGAGGAUGGUGUUUGUGGGAGUAGCACUUCAGUCACCAGGGUGUACGACAUUCUUUGUGACACCUGCAUCACAUCAGUAGAACCUCUCCAAAGGAGGAGAAAGAUGAGGAUUGGUGGAAGAAAUGCUUUUGUUGUCAUCGUUGAGAGCAAAUUCUGCCACAAAAGAAAGUAGAAUCAUGGAAGAUUCAGCAGAACCUGGAGAAGAAACCGCUCAUGGGUAUUUGGAAUGCUGGAGGUGGCAGGGGAAUGUCGAAGGCUGGUACUGAAAUUGGUGAAGCGACGUUCCAGAAGGCGCCUGGAAAGUACUGUGGUGAAAUAUGUGAACCCUGGAAGUGAAGUAAUCAGUGACUGCUGGAGGACAUACCACAACGUGCAGCAGAGAGGCUACAUUCAUUUCUAGGUGAACCACCAGCAUUUCUUCUUCCAUUCACAAACUGGGGCGCACCUUGAGCAUGCGUUGUGUACAGACACAGGGGUAACCUAUAUCUAGAACAAACUCCCCGAAAACUGCAGGUCUACGGUAACUCUGUUCUUUUAAAUCAAGGCUGAAGACUUUAAUGUUUGCCCCUGCCUUUUAUUAAAUAAAAUAAUGUUUCAUUUCAUGCACUGUAACUUUUACUCGCCUGUUUUAUUGUGUUUUUGUUAAUAGUGUUUUUAAAUAUCUUUUAUAUUGCCCUACAUUGCUUUUAUGCUUUAUGUAAAGCACUUUGAAUUGCCUUGUUGUUGAAAUGUGCUAUACAGAUAAACUUGCCUUGCCUAACCUUUCAGAACACUCACUGAGGAGAACUCUGCGUUUUAUUGAGUGGAACUACUGGCUUGGAAAACAACAUUGACAUGGACCAAUUGGCCGCUUACUCAACAACAUUAGAAAAGGUGUACACGGUGUAAUGCAAACACAAUACAUCUUUGUAAAAAUAUUGCUGUUACUGUUUGCUGUGACAUGUGUUUAUAGCUUAAACAAUAUAUGUGCUGUUGUCUAUGUAAAACAUCUUUGUACCCUGGCUUUGAUGUUAAAAUGUUUGUCAGAAAUAAUAAGCAAUUUUAUUACCUUUUUUAACACUUACUCACUUUACUUAACACAGCAUUAAUUAUGAUAAGCUUGUCUGAAGCUUGUUAUUAGUGGCAACUCUAUUCAACACAUUUGUUCCAGGAAGAAAACAUGUAUGCUUUAACAUUAUUUCCCACUGUUUGUGUAAAGCCUGGGUCCCUUGAA
Molecule: long non-coding RNA, 1690 nt
Organism: Siniperca chuatsi (mandarin fish)
Lineage: Eukaryota; Metazoa; Chordata; Actinopteri; Centrarchiformes; Sinipercidae
Exons: 4
Source: RefSeq, a predicted model, not a curated record